Molecule: ribosomal RNA, 460 nt
Filed under: uncultured bacterium
Lineage: Bacteria
Description: partial 16S ribosomal RNA
Rfam family: Bacterial small subunit ribosomal RNA
Source: RNAcentral
CCUACGGGAGGCAGCAGUGAGGAAUAUUGGUCAAUGGACGAGAGUCUGAACCAGCCAAGUAGCGUGAAGGAUGACUGCCCUAUGGGUUGUAAACUUCUUUUAUAUGGGAAUAAAAUGUUCCACGUGUGGGAUUUUGUAUGUACCAUAUGAAUAAGGAUCGGCUAACUCCGUGCCAGCAGCCGCGGUAAUACGGAGGAUCCGAGCGGUAUCCGGAUUUAUUGGGUUUAAAGGGAGCGUAGGUGGAUUGUUAAGUCAGUUGUGAAAGUUUGCGGCUCAACCGUAAAAUUGCAGUUGAAACUGGCAGUCUUGAGUACAGUAGAGGUGGGCGGAAUUCGUGGUGUAGCGGUGAAAUGCUUAGAUAUCACGAAGAACUCCGAUUGCGAAGGCAGUUCACUGGACUGCAACUGACACUGAGGCUCGAAAGUGUGGGUAUCAAACAGGAUUAGAUACCCCUGUAGUC